This 339-nucleotide unclassified non-coding RNA is filed under the name soil metagenome. RNAcentral's name for it is "partial contains 5.8S ribosomal RNA, internal transcribed spacer 2, and large subunit ribosomal RNA". The stretch from base 1 to 120 matches the Rfam family "5.8S ribosomal RNA", at positions 35 to 154 of the family's 154-position model. The record is from RNAcentral.
GAUGAAGAACGCAGUGAAAUGCGAUAAGUAGUGUGAAUUGCAGAAUUCAGUGAAUCAUCGAAUCUUUGAACGCACAUUGCGCCCUUUGGUAUUCCUUAGGGCAUGCCUGUUCGAGCGUCAUUUAAACCUUCAAGCUCAGCUUGGUGUUGGGUGACUGUCCGCCGCCUCCGGGCGCGUGGACUCGCCUCAAAAUUAUUGGCGGCCGGUACAUUGGCUUCGAGCGCAGCGGAAACGCGAACUCGGGCCCGUCGUAUUGGCUCCCAGAAGCUAUCUUCACAAUUUUGACCUCGGAUCAGGUAGGGAUACCCGCUGAACUUAAGCAUAUCAAUAAGCGGAGGA